This 334-nucleotide unclassified non-coding RNA is filed under the name soil metagenome. RNAcentral describes it as "partial contains 5.8S ribosomal RNA, internal transcribed spacer 2, and large subunit ribosomal RNA". The stretch from base 5 to 119 matches the Rfam family "5.8S ribosomal RNA", at positions 40 to 154 of the family's 154-position model. The record is from RNAcentral.
GAUGAGAACGUAGUGAAAUGCGAUAAGUAAUGUGAAUUGCAGAAUUCAGUGAAUCAUCGAAUCUUUGAACGCACAUUGCGCCCGCCAGUAUUCUGGCGGGCAUGCCUGUUCGAGCGUCAUUUCAACCAUCAAGCCCCCGGCUUGUGUUGGGGACCUGCGGCUGCCGCAGGCCCUGAAAACCAGUGGCGGGCUCGCUAGUCACUCCGAGCGUAGUAAUACAUCUCGCUCAGGGCGUGCUGCGGGUUCCGGCCGUUAAAAAGCCUUAUUUACCCAAGGUUGACCUCGGAUCAGGUAGGAAGACCCGCUGAACUUAAGCAUAUCAAUAAGCGGAGGA